Long non-coding RNA from Triticum aestivum (bread wheat), 1673 nucleotides. RefSeq lists it as uncharacterized. The record is from RefSeq and is a predicted model, not a curated record. Lineage: Eukaryota; Viridiplantae; Streptophyta; Magnoliopsida; Poales; Poaceae. The transcript has 4 exons.
UGAGUUCGCCCCGGGGAAGCGGGCGGCCCCAUUUGGUAGCACGUGAGGCGGGGAGAUCCCUGGCCUUUCCACGGCCCAUCCCCGGGAUAGAUCUCCCGAUGUCGAUAGGUCUGGGAGUAAACCCUCGACUGGCUCGCUCUCCCUGCGACCGGUGGCGACGGCCUCCGCCUCCAGCCUCCACCUCCGUUCGGUGCAUCUCCGUCCGACGACCGGAUAGCGCCGCCCCCCGCGCCCUCCCUCAAGAGAACCGCCUCCACAGUCCGUCCCUCCGGCAGCAGCGACGGCGACGGACCGGGCGUCAUCCAUCUCCCCUCUGCCUCAAAGCUUCUAUCACCUCCGGCGACGACGAUGGCCAAGAGGUCACCCUCCUUUCACCAAGAUCCAAGAAACUCCUCUUGCGUCUGAGAUUUGUAUCACAAGUGAGCAAGUGUACACCUUACAUCCACGUUUGCAGCACCUCUAACCAUCCUGAUCUCACAACUAAGCACAAUCACCUUUGUUUCCUUGUGAUGUUGUAUACACGAUGCUAAUCUAUGCACAGUGUUCUUUGUGAUUAAUUAACUCUUGUAAUGCUAUUUUUUGAGUCAGGCAUAGCUAACAAGCUGUAUAUUUGAACAAUGGCUUUAUGGAGGUGUAUAGUAUUAGCUUUCCUUUAUAAAUGGUUAACACAACAUUUAAUUUCACCUGAAAUCAACAUUAUGACAUGCUGACUAUAACCAAACAAAGACAACUUUUAUCAUGCAGCCCAACAUCUUAGGGUUGAGAAUUUUGUCAUAGGAUCUGCACCAUGGGCUGCAUUUACUUAUUAAAUCCUUGCACUUUUUCUAGAUGCUUCCUAUGAUCUUACUUGUUGUGAAUUAUCUUGCAAUACCAUUUUAUUUAACUCACCAUGCCAAGAGGACAUGCCUUGUUUUACAAUCGCUAGUUGGUCCAUGUUUUGCUUGGUUCUCUGAAAACAUGUGUGGCAUGAACCUGAACUGCACUAAUUCUUGAUGUGAUGUAUAACUCGAAGAUGGUUACUUCAGUGCACAGUGAGCUGAUGCAUCACAUGACAUCCCUUGAAAUUCUUUUACUGCUCCCCUUCAAACUUGGCACUGUUCUUGAUUACAGUCUUGUUCCCACCAGAUGCAUGAACAUGAGCUCAAUACUUAAUACGACAGGCGCUGUAUCAUGAGCUAGCAGAGUAUGUGCAUCUGUGCUCCUGCCGCUCCACUUCCAGGUGAUGGCGUCGGGUUGGUCAGAGAGGGUGAAGCUCUCAAGUUCCCGCCAAAGUAUCAGGUUUCCUAAAGAUAGCAAAUAAAAAUGUUCAAAGAAGUUGAUGCUGGAAGUUUCAGUAAAGUGUCUAUUUCAACAGCAAAACUUUUUGCUAUGGACGUGUCACAUAUGGGCAUUUUUUUAAUGGAGCUAAAUGCUUAUUCUUGCUGGAUUUUUAACCGUAGUUAGUAUUUAAAAAAACAUGAUUAGCACAAUAAAUUUUAUCCUCAGUAGUGUUGUGUAAUUUGUGCGACUCGACCGCAUAACUUAUUGUUAGCAUGUAAUUGGGUUGAAGUGUUAAUUUGCUGAUUAUGUGUGUGUUAUUAUUUUCUCCAAAAAAAUCCUGAAUUAUUCUCUAUCUUCCUGAGAACUUGUGUCAUUUCUGGACUUAUCAAGGAAAUAUACAGAAAUUUUAAUUA